This 2787-nucleotide ribosomal RNA is filed under the name Escherichia coli. Its description in RNAcentral is "bacterial LSU rRNA". It matches the Rfam family "Bacterial large subunit ribosomal RNA". Lineage: Bacteria; Pseudomonadati; Pseudomonadota; Gammaproteobacteria; Enterobacterales; Enterobacteriaceae. The record is from RNAcentral.
AGCGUACACGGUGGAUGCCCUGGCAGUCAGAGGCGAUGAAGGACGUGCUAAUCUGCGAUAAGCGUCGGUAAGGUGAUAUGAACCGUUAUAACCGGCGAUUUCCGAAUGGGGAAACCCAGUGUGUUUCGACACACUAUCAUUAACUGAAUCCAUAGGUUAAUGAGGCGAACCGGGGGAACUGAAACAUCUAAGUACCCCGAGGAAAAGAAAUCAACCGAGAUUCCCCCAGUAGCGGCGAGCGAACGGGGAGCAGCCCAGAGCCUGAAUCAGUGUGUGUGUUAGUGGAAGCGUCUGGAAAGGCGCGCGAUACAGGGUGACAGCCCCGUACACAAAAAUGCACAUGCUGUGAGCUCGAUGAGUAGGGCGGGACACGUGGUAUCCUGUCUGAAUAUGGGGGGACCAUCCUCCAAGGCUAAAUACUCCUGACUGACCGAUAGUGAACCAGUACCGUGAGGGAAAGGCGAAAAGAACCCCGGCGAGGGGAGUGAAAAAGAACCUGAAACCGUGUACGUACAAGCAGUGGGAGCACGCUUCGGCGUGUGACUGCGUACCUUUUGUAUAAUGGGUCAGCGACUUAUAUUCUGUAGCAAGGUUAACCGAAUAGGGGAGCCGAAGGGAAACCGAGUCUUAACUGGGCGUUAAGUUGCAGGGUAUAGACCCGAAACCCGGUGAUCUAGCCAUGGGCAGGUUGAAGGUUGGGUAACACUAACUGGAGGACCGAACCGACUAAUGUUGAAAAAUUAGCGGAUGACUUGUGGCUGGGGGUGAAAGGCCAAUCAAACCGGGAGAUAGCUGGUUCUCCCCGAAAGCUAUUUAGGUAGCGCCUCGUGAAUUCAUCUCCGGGGGUAGAGCACUGUUUCGGCAAGGGGGUCAUCCCGACUUACCAACCCGAUGCAAACUGCGAAUACCGGAGAAUGUUAUCACGGGAGACACACGGCGGGUGCUAACGUCCGUCGUGAAGAGGGAAACAACCCAGACCGCCAGCUAAGGUCCCAAAGUCAUGGUUAAGUGGGAAACGAUGUGGGAAGGCCCAGACAGCCAGGAUGUUGGCUUAGAAGCAGCCAUCAUUUAAAGAAAGCGUAAUAGCUCACUGGUCGAGUCGGCCUGCGCGGAAGAUGUAACGGGGCUAAACCAUGCACCGAAGCUGCGGCAGCGACGCUGAUGCGUUGUUGGGUAGGGGAGCGUUCUGUAAGCCUGUGAAGGUGUGCUGUGAGGCAUGCUGGAGGUAUCAGAAGUGCGAAUGCUGACAUAAGUAACGAUAAAGCGGGUGAAAAGCCCGCUCGCCGGAAGACCAAGGGUUCCUGUCCAACGUUAAUCGGGGCAGGGUGAGUCGACCCCUAAGGCGAGGCCGAAAGGCGUAGUCGAUGGGAAACAGGUUAAUAUUCCUGUACUUGGUGUUACUGCGAAGGGGGGACGGAGAAGGCUAUGUUGGCCGGGCGACGGUUGUCCCGGUUUAAGCGUGUAGGCUGGUUUUCCAGGCAAAUCCGGAAAAUCAAGGCUGAGGCGUGAUGACGAGGCACUACGGUGCUGAAGCAACAAAUGCCCUGCUUCCAGGAAAAGCCUCUAAGCAUCAGGUAACAUCAAAUCGUACCCCAAACCGACACAGGUGGUCAGGUAGAGAAUACCAAGGCGCUUGAGAGAACUCGGGUGAAGGAACUAGGCAAAAUGGUGCCGUAACUUCGGGAGAAGGCACGCUGAUAUGUAGGUGAAGUCCCUCGCGGAUGGAGCUGAAAUCAGUCGAAGAUACCAGCUGGCUGCAACUGUUUAUUAAAAACACAGCACUGUGCAAACACGAAAGUGGACGUAUACGGUGUGACGCCUGCCCGGUGCCGGAAGGUUAAUUGAUGGGGUCAGCGCAAGCGAAGCUCUUGAUCGAAGCCCCGGUAAACGGCGGCCGUAACUAUAACGGUCCUAAGGUAGCGAAAUUCCUUGUCGGGUAAGUUCCGACCUGCACGAAUGGCGUAAUGAUGGCCAGGCUGUCUCCACCCGAGACUCAGUGAAAUUGAACUCGCUGUGAAGAUGCAGUGUACCCGCGGCAAGACGGAAAGACCCCGUGAACCUUUACUAUAGCUUGACACUGAACAUUGAGCCUUGAUGUGUAGGAUAGGUGGGAGGCUUUGAAGUGUGGACGCCAGUCUGCAUGGAGCCGACCUUGAAAUACCACCCUUUAAUGUUUGAUGUUCUAACGUUGACCCGUAAUCCGGGUUGCGGACAGUGUCUGGUGGGUAGUUUGACUGGGGCGGUCUCCUCCUAAAGAGUAACGGAGGAGCACGAAGGUUGGCUAAUCCUGGUCGGACAUCAGGAGGUUAGUGCAAUGGCAUAAGCCAGCUUGACUGCGAGCGUGACGGCGCGAGCAGGUGCGAAAGCAGGUCAUAGUGAUCCGGUGGUUCUGAAUGGAAGGGCCAUCGCUCAACGGAUAAAAGGUACUCCGGGGAUAACAGGCUGAUACCGCCCAAGAGUUCAUAUCGACGGCGGUGUUUGGCACCUCGAUGUCGGCUCAUCACAUCCUGGGGCUGAAGUAGGUCCCAAGGGUAUGGCUGUUCGCCAUUUAAAGUGGUACGCGAGCUGGGUUUAGAACGUCGUGAGACAGUUCGGUCCCUAUCUGCCGUGGGCGCUGGAGAACUGAGGGGGGCUGCUCCUAGUACGAGAGGACCGGAGUGGACGCAUCACUGGUGUUCGGGUUGUCAUGCCAAUGGCACUGCCCGGUAGCUAAAUGCGGAAGAGAUAAGUGCUGAAAGCAUCUAAGCACGAAACUUGCCCCGAGAUGAGUUCUCCCUGACUCCUUGA